This 343-nucleotide unclassified non-coding RNA is filed under the name soil metagenome. RNAcentral describes it as "partial contains 5.8S ribosomal RNA, internal transcribed spacer 2, and large subunit ribosomal RNA". The stretch from base 1 to 120 matches the Rfam family "5.8S ribosomal RNA", at positions 35 to 154 of the family's 154-position model. The record is from RNAcentral.
GAUGAAGAACGCAGUGAAAUGCGAUAAGUAAUGUGAAUUGCAGAAUCCAGUGAAUCAUCGAAUCUUUGAACGCACAUUGCGCCCGCCAGCAUUCUGGCGGGCAUGCCUGUUCGAGCGUCAUUUCAACCCUCGACCUCCCCUUGGGGAGGUCGGCGUUGGGGACCGGCAGCACACCGCCGGCCCUGAAAUGGAGUGGCGGCCCGUCCGCGGCGACCUCUGCGCAGUAAUACAGCUCGCACCGGGACCCCGACGCGGCCACGCCGUAAAACACCCAACUUCUGAACGUUGACCUCGAAUCAGGUAGGACUACCCGCUGAACUUAAGCAUAUCAAUAAGCGGAGGA